UGGUGCAUUGAUCACAGGGCCAUGGGCCAUGGCGUCCAUUGGAGCAGCCAUCCAUUCCUGUUUCCAGGACCUACGGUUCUUUGGAUCUGUUGCCUCAUGUAUAUAAAAGACACACUGUUCAAAUCACAGGGUCACUGUAAGAAUUCAAUGAGGAAAGCUCUGUUUCUGCCCCGGAUCUGGAAUAAGUCUUUUCUGCUGCCAUUAUUAUUGUUUCCUCUUACUGUUGCUACUAAGAAUCACUUUGGGCAGAUCGGUUCACCUCUGCAAACUUCAGCUUCUCCUCGUCCCUGUUGGCUGUGGCGUUUGAACGUGCUUCAGACAAGCGAGUCAGUCGAGAUGAACAGGAGGAAACCCUGCCACCACCUACAUCCAGCAUGGAGGGAAGAGCGUCAGUCAGACUAAAGGUAGUUGGUGGGAGCAGGUGGAGACUCGGAACUGAAUGGGGCAAGACCAGGAGGCAGAGAGACUGCGAAGUCAUCCUGAAGCAGUCAGACUCACACAGGUAGAGAGGAUGGUGUAAUAACCCUCCACACACCCAGCACCCACACUCAUCAGUUACUGACAUUUCACACUGGAGGUUAUGGAAGGGAGCCAAGAACUCAUGUUGAGUAGGAGAAGUGCCUUGGAUCCUAUCUUGGGGCAGAGGUGGCUGUAACAACAGCAGGA
Molecule: long non-coding RNA, 666 nt
Organism: Molossus molossus (Pallas's mastiff bat)
Lineage: Eukaryota; Metazoa; Chordata; Mammalia; Chiroptera; Molossidae
Exons: 5
Source: RefSeq, a predicted model, not a curated record